AUUUUCAAGCCAGUUCAUCCCUCUGCACUUCUCCGAGGAUCCACCACGAGAGCUCGCGGCGAAGCGCCGGAAAAUGACGAAGCUCUUCGCGUUUGAGAAGAUGCCCAGAAUUGGUGGAGUGCUUCUUUCAAUUCCCAGUACUUGAAAGAAUGUUGGAUUAACUUUCAAGGUGCACCUCGUCCAGGAGUGUCUAAAGAAAAAUUUUGUAGUGGUAGAUGGUGCAAAUGUUGGCCUCACUAAUCAACGUAAUUAUAAUCUCCCAGGCGCCCUUGCUUUGUUUUACAUUCCUUUUUUGUUUUCUUAUACUCCCCUUGAUUCUUUUCUGAGGUGACCGUGGAAGAAUGCGUUUGGAGUUAAGGAUGUAUUUUGAUGUGUUUUAGAAUUAAGAAAAAAGAAGAAGAACAAACUACUUGUAUAGCAAUAUGCAUCGUUUGAUCUUUUUAACGAGGAAUUGCUACUUCCAUAAUUUAGCAUAACGUUUAGUGCAUAGUUUGCCUCUCUACAUCCACGAGGUAGGGGUAAGGUCGCUCUAUCCUUCCCAUGUGGGAUUUCAUUGGGUAUGUUGUUGUUUGGUGCAUAGAAUGGCUGAAAGAAAUAGUAGAAUUUUGAAGCAACAAGAGACACAUUCUUAGCCAUAAGUUUAGAGCUUUUUCUUUCCUAGCUCUUUGGUGCAACCUAAAUUUUGUACAUGAUGUAAAUGGCAUGUUAGAUACUAUCGAGGAAUUGCACAAUCUGUAACUCUGUUUUGUAGCUCUAGCUCAGUGUUAUUUUCUCUGUAACAAAAUUCUUUAUUACUUAUCAGGAAAAACUUUUUUUGGUAGUCUUUUUUUGUAUCACCUAGAAAUUUGUCUGGGCCCAUCCCUUAUGACUAAAUGCAACCUUCAAGACUCGGGGAUAAUGAGCCAGCUUCUCUUCCAUUAUCCACUUUAAUACCAGGCUCGAUACAGGCUUAUCCUGCAGUGACAAUAUGUCAGCAACUUUGUCCAUCUAGUCAAGAGUAAAUUCUUCUCCACAUUGAUCAAUCCACUUGCUUAAGCUAAACGGCUUGAAGCUUGUUAAUUUGGCCUCGAAGCUGAAGUGGUUCAGAGAAAUUUAUAUGGUGCUUGGCUGUCUAAAUCUACCAUUUUGGCUCCUUAUGUUUUUUUCUGUCCUUUCUAUCUGUGCCUUUUUGUGUACAAUGGGUUUAUUAAUCGAUCAAUAAUGCCUCAACUUUACUGCAGUAAUAUCAUGGUACUCUUUAUUAAAUAAAUUGGUAGGCUUACAGAAGUCAAAGGGAA
Long non-coding RNA from Solanum tuberosum (potato), 1277 nucleotides. RefSeq lists it as uncharacterized. Lineage: Eukaryota; Viridiplantae; Streptophyta; Magnoliopsida; Solanales; Solanaceae. The transcript has 2 exons. The record is from RefSeq and is a predicted model, not a curated record.